GACGAACGCUGGCGGCGUGCUUAACACAUGCAAGUCGAACGGAAAGGCCCUGCUUUUGUGGGAUGCUCGAGUGGCGAACGGGUGAGUAACACGUGAGUAACCUGCCCUUGACUUUGGGAUAACUUCAGGAAACUGGGGCUAAUACCGGAUAGGAGCUCCUGCUGCAUGGUGGGGGUUGGAAAGUUUCGGCGGUUGGGGAUGGACUCGCGGCUUAUCAGCUUGUUGGUGGGGUAGUGGCUUACCAAGGCUUUGACGGGUAGCCGGCCUGAGAGGGUGACCGGCCACCUUGGGACUGAGAUACGGCCCAGACUCCUACGGGAGGCAGCAGUGGGGAAUAUUGCACAAUGGGCGGAAGCCUGAUGAAGCAACGCCGCGUGCGGGAUGACGGCCUUCGGGUUGUAAACCGCUUUCGCCUGUGACGAAGCGUGAGUGACGGUAAUGGGUAAAGAAGCACCGGCUAACUACGUG
Molecule: ribosomal RNA, 468 nt
Filed under: uncultured bacterium
Lineage: Bacteria
Description: partial 16S ribosomal RNA
Rfam family: Bacterial small subunit ribosomal RNA
Source: RNAcentral